This 497-nucleotide ribosomal RNA is filed under the name uncultured bacterium. RNAcentral describes it as "partial 16S ribosomal RNA". It matches the Rfam family "Bacterial small subunit ribosomal RNA", at positions 29 to 507 of the family's 1533-position model. The record is from RNAcentral.
ACGAACGCUGGCGGCGUGCCUCAUACAUGCAAGUCGAACGAGAGCGACCGGUGCUUGCACUGGUCAAUCUAGUGGCGAACGGGUGAGUAACACGUGGGUAACCUGCCCAUCAGAGGGGGAUAACAUCCGGAAACGGAUGCUAAAACCGCAUAGGUCUUCGAGCCGCAUGGCUUGAAGAGGAAAAGAGGCGCAAGCUUCUGCUGAUGGAUGGACCCGCGGUGCAUUAGCUAGUUGGUGAGGUAACGGCUCACCAAGGCCGUGAUGCAUAGCCGACCUGAGAGGGUGAUCGGCCACAUUGGGACUGAGACACGGCCCAAACUCCUACGGGAGGCAGCAGUAGGGAAUCUUCCGCAAUGGACGCAAGUCUGACGGAGCAACGCCGCGUGAGUGAAGAAGGUUUUCGGAUCGUAAAACUCUGUUGUUAGAGAAGAACAAGUGCUAGAGUAACUGUUAGCGCCUUGACGGUAUCUAACCAGAAAGCCACGGCUAACUACGUG